Molecule: long non-coding RNA, 500 nt
Organism: Musca vetustissima
Lineage: Eukaryota; Metazoa; Arthropoda; Insecta; Diptera; Muscidae
Exons: 2
Source: RefSeq, a predicted model, not a curated record
GAUGGUGUGGGCCGCCAUAACAGCCGAUGGUCGCUCCCCGCUCUAUUAAUCGACCGUGACAUGAGAAUAAAUGCCGAAAAUAUUCUGAAGGAUGUUUUAAAGCCUUGGGCACACAAACAUUUUGGCCGCAGACCUUGGACAUUCCAACAUGAUUCAGAACCAUCGCACUCAGCACGCGCCACCCAUGAAUGGUUACAAAAUGAGGUUCCUCUCAUCAUUUCCAGAGCACAAUGGCCACCAAAAUCUCAGGAUACCAAUCCGAUGGACUAUUGUGUCUGGAGUAUUUUUGAAAGCAAGGUUGGCAAUAAAAAAUACCAAAGUGUCGAUCACCUCAAGCAAGCGCUUCGCCGGGAAUGGGCCAAAAUACUGCAGAGUAACAUUCGGGCAGCGUGUGUCGGUUUCAUUGGCCGUUUAAAGGUCAUAAUUCGUGCCAAAGGUGAGCAAUUCGAACAAAUGUAAACUUAUUCUAAUAUUUGAUGCCAUUUCCGACAUUGUUUGCA